Molecule: long non-coding RNA, 1998 nt
Filed under: Homo sapiens (human)
Lineage: Eukaryota; Metazoa; Chordata; Mammalia; Primates; Hominidae
Source: RNAcentral
CUGGGAUUACAGGCGUGAGCCACCACGCCCGGCCUUACCCUUAUCUUUUAAAAAACCAUCCACAAUUUAGGACAGAGCCUUAUCCUCUGUUACAAAACAUGUUUAGAGUCAGACUACAACAACGAGGCAUAGUGUCUGCACAGCAUUAUUUUAAUGCAAGAAAACAAAGCUGCCAACUAUAAGGAUCUGAAAAAUGUGACCACUUCAGGCUUAUUUUAGACUGAACCACUCCCCUUCCCUAAUUAUCCCUCAAAGGAAAUACAUCAGGCACUGUGGGCAAAGAGGGAAACAUGUCUAAUUACAACAUGUGCACUUGGUGGACGAAGAAUUUGAACAUUCUUGAACUCUGGCCACAUUUCAGAAGACUUUCCACUUGUAGUUUAAUUUCCCUGAAGAGAAAAGUUUAAAGAUCAGUUGCACUUCAACCAGGGUUCUAUCAAAAAAAGACAUAAAGAAUACCCGACAAGCAUAGGCAACCAAAGCAAAAAUGGACAAAUGGGAUCACAUCAAGUUAAAAAGCUUCCUCACAGCAAAGGAAACUAUCAACAAAAUGAAGAGAUAACCCACUGAAUGAGAGAAAAUAUUUACAAACCAUCUAUCUGACAGGGGAUAACAAGAAUAUGUAAGAAGCUCAAACAACUCAAUAGGAAAAAAUCUAAUAAUCCACCUAAAAAUGGAGACAAGAUCUGAAAGACAUUUCUCAAAAGAAGAUAUACAAAUGGCAAAAAAAGGUACAUGAAAACGUGCUUAACAUCAUUGAUCACCAGAGAAAUACAAAUCAAAACUACAAUGAGUGCUCGCUUCAGCAUCACAUAUACUAAAAUUGGAAGGACACAGAGAAGAUUAGCAUGGCCCCUGCGCAAGGAUGACAUGCAAAUUCGUGAAGCGUUUCAUAUUUUUAACAAACCCUUAAAUGUUAAAAAAAAAAAGUAUGAGAUAUCAUCUCAUCCCAGUUAAAAUGGCUUAUAUCCAAAAAAGAUAAGCAAUAACAAAUGCUAGUAAGGAUGUGGAGAGAAGGGAACCUUCAUACGCUGUUGGUGGGAACGUAAAUCAAUACAACCACUGUGGAGAACAGUACGGAGGUUCCUCAAAAACUAAAAAUAGAGCCACCAUAUGAUCCGGCAAGCCCACUGCUAGGUAUACACCCAAAAGAAAGGAAAUCAGGGCCAGGCACGGUGGCUUACGCCUACAAUCCCAGCACUUUGGGAGGCUGAGGCAGGAGGAUUGCUUGAGCCCAGGAGUUUGAGAGCAGCCUGGGCAAAGACAGCAAGACAUCACCUCUACUAAAAAUUUUAAAAUUAGCCAGGUGCUCUGGCAUGCACCUGUAGUCCCAGCUACUUGGGAAAAUGGCUUGAGUACAGGAGGUGGAGGCUACAGUGAGCUGUGAUCACGCCACUGUACUUCAACCUAAGCGACAAAGCAAGAUCCUGUCUCUAAAAAAGGAAGAAAGGAAAUCAGUACAUGGAAGAGAAAUCUGCACUCCCAUGUUUAUUACAACACUAUUCACCACAGCCAAGAUUUGGAAGCAACCAAAGUGUCCAUCAUCAACAAAUGAAUAGAUAAAGAAAAUGUGGUACAUACACACGAGUACUAUUCAGCCAUAAAAAAGAAUAAGAUCCUGUCAUUUGUAACAAUGAACAGAACUGGAGGUCAUUAUGUUAAGUGAACUACGCCAGGCGCAGAAAGACAAACUUUGCACGUCCUCACUUAUUUGUGGGAGCUAAAAAUUAAAACAUUUGAACUCAUGGAGACAGAAUGAUGGUUACCAAAAGCUGGGAAGGGUAGCAGGGGAAAGGGAAGUGGGGAUGUUUAAUGGGUACAAAAACACAGUUAGAAUAAGAUCUAGUAAGUGAUAGCACAACAGGGUGACUACAGUCAACAAUAAUUGUAUAUUUUAUAAUAACUUAAAGAGUAUAAUUGGAUAGUGUGUAACACAAAGGAAGGAUAAAUGCUUGCAGUGAUGGAUACCCCAUUCAUGCAUUGUAUGCCUGUAUCCAA